GUGCUCACUUUGUCAGCACAUAUACGAAAAUUAGAAUGAUACAGAGAUUAGCAUGGCACCUGUGCAAGGACACAUAAAAGUUUGUGAGGCAUACAAUAUUUUU
This is a small nuclear RNA of Cebus imitator (Panamanian white-faced capuchin), 103 nucleotides long. NCBI's taxonomy places the organism in Eukaryota, Metazoa, Chordata, Mammalia, Primates, Cebidae. The record is from Ensembl.